Long non-coding RNA from Branchiostoma belcheri (Belcher's lancelet), 1071 nucleotides. RefSeq lists it as uncharacterized. Lineage: Eukaryota; Metazoa; Chordata; Leptocardii; Amphioxiformes; Branchiostomatidae. The record is from RefSeq and is a predicted model, not a curated record. The transcript has 3 exons.
GCGUACCACUGAACAAUCACAAUGCACUGUCUCUUCCUGAGCAGCCAACUCCACCAAAAAGACCGGGCCUGGUGACAGCAGGAACAAGAUGGCGGAUCCCAAAGAUGAUUUCCCAUGAUCCUUCGCGGACCUCCCGAGAGGACCUUGCCGGAUACCCUCAGAAGGCGAUGGAGUAACAGCCUGGAACACCUGAAACACGCAACCACACAAUGGCAAACAACAACGACUGUUGCCUGCCAACAUGCCUCACAAGAGUCCAUACCAGGUCCACAGCCACAACACCUAGCGACCUCAAAACCACGUAAACAAUGCCAAACGACGAUGAAAAGAGAGCCUACCUUGUUACAACUAAAUACACCAUCAAUACUGUCGCUGGCAUAGCCAUAGAUGCUUUGCGCUUAAAGGCAUGUCUUCUGUCGACUGCAGGACGUUCUACAGUCACCCUUUACAAACAAUACAAGACCAACAGUCGGCUAUCAAAGUACAUCAAAAGCAAGGUACAUCACAAGCAAAGUGAACAUUCUUCGUCUGAAACCACGACGCCACAUAAUCAUCUCCUGCUUUCCAAAAGACGUAGACAAUACAAAACAAGGACGUUAAUCGACUUUAAAACUACAUCUAUGAAACAUGUAUGUUUCAACUGCGAUGCUUCAGAAUAAUACAUGUACAAGCAAAAUGACAGUAACAAAGUGGUCAAAUUGGCAUUCACGUGAACUAACUCUACAAUAAUAUUACAAACGAAUAGAUAAUCCUCGUUGCUUUUUAAUUAAGGUGUAUAGAGCUAACGGCAUAGGUAACUAAUUUCAUAACAUUAAAACAGCAAAUUAAAGCAAACUAAAUUACUACCCUAGCUUUUAAUUUUAAUAAAACAAUUUUAAUAGCCAAUACCACUAAUCAAUUCGUAUUCUACAAAGUCUAAAAUAAACAUUAAUGAACAACGCAUCCUAACAUUUUAUUAAAUCACAAGCCAAGAAAAGCAAUCGAGAGAGAAACUAUGUGAGUGUGGCAUGUAUGUAUGUUUGUUUGUGUGUGUGUGUGUGUGUGUGUGUGUGCGUGUGUGUGAUUGUGUGU